CCUACGGGGGGCUGCAGUGGGGAAUAUUGGACAAUGGGCGAAAGCCUGAUCCAGCCAUGCCGCGUGUGUGAAGAAGGCCUUCGGGUUGUAAAGCACUUUCAGUGGGGAAGAAAGCCUUGGGGCUAAUACCCUCGAGGAAGGACAUCACCCACAGAAGAAGCACCGGCUAACUCCGUGCCAGCAGCCGCGGUAAUACGGAGGGUGCGAGCGUUAAUCGGAAUUACUGGGCGUAAAGCGCGCGUAGGCGGUCUGAUAAGCCGGUUGUGAAAGCCCCGGGCUCAAACUGGGAACGGCAUCCGGAACUGUCAGGCUAGAGUGCAGGAGAGGAAGGUAGAAUUCCCGGUGUAGCGGUGAAAUGCGUAGAGAUCGGGAGGAAUACCAGUGGCGAAGGCGGCCUUCUGGACUGACACUGACGCUGAGGUGCGAAAGCGUGGGUAGCAAACAGGAUUAGAUACCCCAGUAGUC
This 465-nucleotide ribosomal RNA is filed under the name Vreelandella stevensii. Its description in RNAcentral is "partial 16S ribosomal RNA". It matches the Rfam family "Bacterial small subunit ribosomal RNA", at positions 338 to 795 of the family's 1533-position model. The record is from RNAcentral. Lineage: Bacteria; Pseudomonadati; Pseudomonadota; Gammaproteobacteria; Oceanospirillales; Halomonadaceae.